Molecule: ribosomal RNA, 81 nt
Filed under: Vibrio parahaemolyticus
Lineage: Bacteria; Pseudomonadati; Pseudomonadota; Gammaproteobacteria; Vibrionales; Vibrionaceae
Description: partial 16S ribosomal RNA
Rfam family: Bacterial small subunit ribosomal RNA
Source: RNAcentral
CUUAAAUUGAAGAGUUUGAUCAUGGCUCAGAUUGAACGCUGGCGGCAGGCCUAACACAUGCAAGUCGAGCGGAAACGAUUU